UAGAUUGGAGCUCGUUAGAAUGAGUGUUUAGCUGUUAACUAAAUGGUUGUGGGAUUAAAGCCCAUCAAUCUAA
Molecule: transfer RNA, 73 nt
Filed under: Schistometopum gregorii
Lineage: Eukaryota; Metazoa; Chordata; Amphibia; Gymnophiona; Dermophiidae
Description: tRNA-Asn
Source: RNAcentral